AACAAACGCUGGCGGCGUGCCUAAUACAUGCAAGUCGAACGGGGAAAGUAGCAAUAUGAGUACUAGUGGCGCACGGGUGAGUAACGCGUGGAUAAUCUGCCUUGAAGAGGGGGAUAACUAGUCGAAAGAUUAGCUAAUACCGCAUAAGACCACAAGAACUGAGGUUCAAGGGGUCAAAGGUUUUUCGCUUCAAGAUGAGUCCGCGUAAGAUUAGCUAGUUGGUGAGGUAAUGGCUCACCAAGGCAACGAUCUUUAACUGGUCUGAGAGGAUGAUCAGUCACACUGGAACUGAGACACGGUCCAGACUCCUACGGGAGGCAGCAGUAGGGAAUAUUGCACAAUGGAGGAAACUCUGAUGCAGCGACGCCGCGUGAGUGAUGAAGGCCUUCGGGUCGUAAAGCUCUGUCGCAGGGGAAUAACUCAAUGAAGGUACCCUGUAAGAAAGGAUCGGCUAACUUCGUG
RNAcentral lists this ribosomal RNA (462 nucleotides) under uncultured bacterium. RNAcentral describes it as "partial 16S ribosomal RNA". It matches the Rfam family "Bacterial small subunit ribosomal RNA", at positions 29 to 507 of the family's 1533-position model. The record is from RNAcentral.